RNAcentral lists this ribosomal RNA (423 nucleotides) under uncultured bacterium. Its description in RNAcentral is "bacterial SSU rRNA". It matches the Rfam family "Bacterial small subunit ribosomal RNA", at positions 207 to 622 of the family's 1533-position model. The record is from RNAcentral.
AAGACCUUGCGCUUUUGGAGCGGCCGAUGCCUGAUUAGCUUGUUGGUAAGGUAAAAGCUUACCAAGGCUUCGAUCAGUAGCUGGUCUGAGAGGACGACCAGCCACACUGGGACUGAGACACGGCCCAGACUCCUACGGGAGGCAGCAGUGGGGAAUUUUGGACAAUGGGGGCAACCCUGAUCCAGCCAUGCCGCGUGAGUGAAGAAGGCCUUCGGGUUGUAAAGCUCUUUCAGCCGGAACGAAACGGUUACGGAUAACACCCGUGACUACUGACGGUACCGGAAGAAGAAGCACCGGCUAACUACGUGCCAGCAGCCGCGGUAAUACGUAGGGUGCGAGCGUUAAUCGGAAUUACUGGGCGUAAAGGGUGCGCAGGCGGUUUUGUAAGUCAGAUGUGAAAUCCCCGGGCUUAACCUGGGAACU